UACGGAGGGGGCUAGCGUUGUUCGGAAUUACUGGGCGUAAAGCGCACGUAGGCGGACUGUUAAGUCGGGGGUGAAAUCCUGGGGCUCAACCUCAGAAUUGCCUCCGAUACUGGCAGUCUCGAGUGCGGGAGAGGUGAGUGGAAUUCCCAGUGUAGAGGUGAAAUUCGUAGAUAUUGGGAAGAACACCAGUGGCGAAGGCGGCUCACUGGCCCGUAACUGACGCUGAGGUGCGAAAGCGUGGGGAGCAAACA
Molecule: ribosomal RNA, 251 nt
Filed under: uncultured bacterium
Lineage: Bacteria
Description: partial 16S ribosomal RNA
Rfam family: Bacterial small subunit ribosomal RNA
Source: RNAcentral